GACUGCAGGCUGCAACUCGCCUGCACGAAGUCGGAAUUGCUAGUAAUCGUAGGUCAGCAUACUACGGUGAAUACGUUCCCGGGCCUUGUACACACCGCCCGUCACACCAUGAGAGUUGAGAAUACCCGAAGUCCAUGUUAAAGUGGCCGAAGGUAGGCUCGAUGAUUGGGGUGAAGUCGUAACAAGGUAGC
Molecule: ribosomal RNA, 191 nt
Filed under: uncultured bacterium
Lineage: Bacteria
Description: partial 16S ribosomal RNA
Rfam family: Bacterial small subunit ribosomal RNA
Source: RNAcentral